UAACAUGUAUUGCCUCUG
Molecule: non-coding RNA, 18 nt
Filed under: Arabidopsis thaliana (thale cress)
Lineage: Eukaryota; Viridiplantae; Streptophyta; Magnoliopsida; Brassicales; Brassicaceae
Source: RNAcentral